GCCCUCACCUCAAAUGGCUCUCAGCGCCCUACAGGACACUGGCCGAACUAAACCACCGCACGCUCCUGGCCGCUCCUUUCCAGCACUGUGCCGGACAAUUGUCCACGCCCUACAGGACAGCCAGAAACACACAGCGAUGGGACCAGACCAUGGCACAAUCCUGGCCUUGCUACACUCGACCACUCAGCUGGAAGGAAGAGCUGCCAGCUCUCUACAGGAGAGCCAGACACACAAUGCAAUGGGACCAGACCACGGCACUCUCCUGGCCUCGCUCCCCUUAAGAACUCAGCAGAAGAUGACAACACUCUACAGGACAGAUAAGACAGCCCCAACCCAUUCCCCACCACGGUCCCACCUCGCUCAGUGGGAACGUGACACGGUUGAGCUACAACCAACAUCUCCUGGACUUCAGGAAGAUGCGAGUUGGACGGCCUUGGUGUGAGGCUGGGAGAGCCUCGCGCAGGGAGGCAGGGAUGGCUUCCAGUGCUGGCAGGGGUGGCUGCUCGGUUUCUCGCCUCCUCUAUUACAGCUGGACACACGGACAGUGACGGAAUGAAGCCAUGGCACACCCCUGGCCUCUCUCCCCUUGAGAAGUCAGCUGGAAAAGCUGUCAGUGUUCUCCAGGACAGG
Molecule: long non-coding RNA, 630 nt
Filed under: Anser brachyrhynchus (Pink-footed goose)
Lineage: Eukaryota; Metazoa; Chordata; Aves; Anseriformes; Anatidae
Description: lncRNA (ENSABRG00000004423.1)
Source: RNAcentral